This 91-nucleotide transfer RNA is filed under the name Aromia moschata. RNAcentral's name for it is "tRNA-OTHER". Lineage: Eukaryota; Metazoa; Arthropoda; Insecta; Coleoptera; Cerambycidae. The record is from RNAcentral.
GCCGCGGCGAUAGGUCAGUGGGUAAAGCGCAAGGUGAGAAGAUGGCGAUUACUCCGAAUUAUCCGCGCGGGUUCGAAUCCCGCCUGUGGCA